Long non-coding RNA from Mirounga angustirostris (Northern elephant seal), 3854 nucleotides. RefSeq lists it as uncharacterized. NCBI's taxonomy places the organism in Eukaryota, Metazoa, Chordata, Mammalia, Carnivora, Phocidae. The record is from RefSeq and is a predicted model, not a curated record. The transcript is spliced from 3 exons.
GGGAUUCACUGACCUCACAAGGAAGGGAGCAGGGAUUCAAACCCAGGGAGGCUGACUGAAUGUGGAUGCACUAACCACCAGACUAGCCUUCCAUGGAGAGGUCCCCUGGCCCCCAAAGAGGGUGGUGUGAAUCCUGAGGGCCUUUCAAGAUUGUAUUCUACUUACCUGGGAUUCUCUUCAAACCAUCCACAGGUUCCAACCUCACACUGGCAAAGCACCUGUAAUGAGUGAACGGAACCUAUUCGUGAUGUGCAGCAUCUGAUCUGAGCAAGCCUACACGGGAGACGGACCCUCUGGCUCCUCUGUGCUUGUGUUCUGCUGGGCUCCAGUAGCCAAGAGCUGGACCGCUGUUUCCAGCACCAGGCACUUACAGAAACGAAAAGCACUCUCUAGAUCCAUGGAAUUCGGACUGAACGGGGGAUCCACAAACACCAUAGCAUUGCUGGCACAUUCUAGAAUUCGAUGUCCCUGAAGAGACACAGAAAAGGACUUUUUCUUCCUUAAUGGCCACAGUAAUGAUCCCCGUAAUAAAAAUCAGCCGGAUGGGCCCUGUCAUCCGAAAUGUAGGCUAGGUAUUAUGUAUGCCGGGUCUCAAGAAUGAGCUUCACGGGUAAGACGCUGGAUAUUUCACAAAUGCUGACUUCAGAUUUAAGGGCACUGGCUACUGAAAUUGGAAAUUCGUCAUACUCCUUUAAUGGGAAAUGGGUAACCGCACUUGAACACCUCGUGAGCUCAAUAAACCUUAAGCACACGAUUUCAACCAGGAUAGGGCAUCAGCUUGCUGAGAAAAGGCAGAGGCACUGUGGGUGCCGAGCCCUCCCUCACAUGCCCGUGGUGCAGGCCCCGCGGGCUGCUUGGGUGCGUGACUGAGGGUUACACAAGCUUACCCUUAGGAGGAUUCUGGAGGCAGAACUAGGUAGGAGACCGGGGCUCCGGGCGCCGCUGAGAGGCAACAGCGCCACCUGCUGGGCCCGCGCGGCCCUGCGAGCGCGGGAGGGCGAGCGCGCCUGCGCAGGGGGCCCGGCGGCCGACUUCAGGCGCAGGAGGGGUGCUCCGCUCUGCCCCGGGCCGGGAGUUAGGCCCGAUUGCAAGCGCAUUAGGCCUUAGAGUAAAACGUGAAUGUGAAGGGUGCUUCACUCAUAACAUCCGCCCGCUCAAAUAGCCCCCCUGGACCGUCUCCAUCAGCAACGGCAGCCAGGCCCGUAACCACACAGUCCAUUAACCGCUCCGCGCGCUCGUGGUUCCUGCACAGAACUUGUCGUUACGGCGAAAUAUGAUCAUGAAUUAAGCGAGAGAAGAAGGCAUUUGGCCGUUUAUUUCAAACCCAAGUCGGAACUAAGCCAGACUGAGCUUUUAGCUGACAAGUAUUUAAAACAAAGGACUCAAAGUCCUACAAGUUUUUAUAACUUUACAAAAUUCGACUUGGACCCUUGUCCACCUGACUCCUUUACUCAGAUUAAUCACGUUACUUCCUGACCUCUGGGGAGAACUAUGUAUUGACCUCCAAACUCUUGAGACAUUUGAGCAUGGGAAGUGGGGUCCGAGUGUGUACGUAAAGCUUUAUCGUUCACUUUAUAGGGGUUGCCAUUUAAAGCAAACAGCUAGACUCGAUUCCCUUCCCGAUUCCCAGAUCUUCUGGAGAUAAGAGGGAACACAGGGAUCUGACACUUUGGGGAUUCCCAUUGUGUGUGCUGGUCCUUUCAUCAGGGCUACUUUAUCAUCCUGUGAGCCCACGAGGCCUGAGAAGAGUCUCUGACCCACCCUUUAACCAUGGAUGAGUUUUUGGCUCUUAUGCCAAACAAGGUCACAAGGCCAAAGCAAGAUGCCCCCAAACAUUUCUAUGGCUUUGGAGCAAUUACUGUGAAACUUUUUAGUGCAAACAAGCUUAACUCUUCAUCAGGAUCCAGUAUGCAUUUGCUUUGGGACAAGUCGAUCUCCAGGACAGGGGGUGGAGGCCUCCCAGGUUCCAUGGCCUCAGGAAACAGUGGACCCCUAGACGCACAGGAUGUCUGUGAGAUGGCGACUCUCUAGAGGUCAUCAGCAUGAGGGAUGGAAAGGAAGAGAAGGCUCCUGUCACUUGGGCAAGGCAGUUCACCAAGUGCCUUGGUGGGCAUGAGUAAAAAUCCUAUAACCUAGUCACACCAAUGUAUAGUACUCCUUCCUUACAGAAGAGGAAACUGAGGCUCAGGAAGGUGGACUGGUUUAUGGACAGUCAGGGAAUCAGCUAGAGAAAGAGUCCAGAGAGAGGCCAGGUUGACUCUCCCACACGGUCUCCCCCUCAUGCUGCUUCCCUCAAGGCACAGAAAGCCCAAAGCUCACAUCUGUGGUUGACUAAACUUCAGGUAUAAGAAAAAAGAAAGAAGAAGAAGAAGAAGAAGGAGGAGGAGGAGGAGGAGGAGGAGAAGAAGAAGAAAUAGAAAAUCUCUGUUCUCUUAUCAAACAUUCCAUCUUUUAAAAGCCUUGUUAGAUGUGCGUUAACUUGGCCACGAAGUCCAGGCCCCGGGGCUGGAGAAACGGGGCGCAAGGGAAGCGGCCCGCGGGGCUGGACUCUUCCCUCACUCCACGGAAGGUGGGCUUGGCCACAUGACUCAUUGAGGCCACAGAGCGUGGCAGGACGGGCAGUGUGGCCUGAAUUUCCGGCCAGCGCAUCCACAGCUCCUCUCCCCGGGAUGGAGAGCGCAUGGCGCUCUGACUGGCAGCCCGACGCUGAGCCCCGAGGAGGACCCGCAGACCCCGGAGGGGAAUGUAAGUGCUCCUUGCUAGAUGCCACUGUUGUGUUUGCUUCGCAUCCAAAGCUCACACAGGCCCCUGCUUUGAACGAGGGAACUUCACCUCAUCUCACCGAUCUGAUUCUGUUUCAGUCGUAUGGCCCCACACCUGUCAUAAAGCAGCUGUGACAAGGUGGUCACAAGGGCUCUUUGUUUUAGGCUCCCUGCUGAUGUCAUGGGAGUGCAGAAGACAGAGAACUUCCAUUCUCAUUUUUCUGCUUUUUUAAAAUCAAGGUAUAACUGAUAUACAUUAUGUUCGUUUCAGGUGUACAUCCUAACGAUUUGAUGUUUGUAUAUAUUGAAAAAUGAUCACAUCUGUCACCACAUAGUUACAAUUGUUUUUGUGCUUCUUAAUAGAAGUACCUGCCCCUUUAUCAGAGUUCCGAUUACCCCAUGGGAGCGGAAGAGCGGCUGUCUUGUUCUUAAAAGAUCAGUCUUCUCCAAAAAGGCAGGGGGUUUGUAACAGUUUUACAAACACCCGCUUCCAAAACGGCUUGUUCAGGGAGCUCCUGGCUGGCUCAGAUGGUGGAGCGUGCCACUCUUGAUCUCGGGGUCUUGAGUUUGAGCCCCACGUUGGGUGUGCGAUUACUUCAAAAAGUAAAAUAAUAAAAAACAAAAACAAAAUGGCCAUUCAGAAGCAUUGCUUAUGGAAGUACAAUCCUUGGUCAUCCAGGAAAAACCUAGAAAUUCAAUUCCACUUCCUGGGUAUUCACUGAGCGAUUGCCAUGAGCCGCCCAUGGGCUUACUUACUUCCCAGGGCAAACAGCUGAAGCAGAGAGCUGGCUGCAACCAUCAUGCAUUCGCUGUAGAAACAUGGGCAUCGACCCUUAUUUCCCACAGGUUCUGGAGAGCCCAGGGUUCCCUGCUUUUUAGAAACAGCAGUGAAGGUAGUAUUUGUCUGGUCUGUAGUGUUUUGUUUCUUUUUUUAAGAUUUUAUUUAUUUAUUUGAGAGAGAGAGAAUGAGAGACAGAGAGCACGAGAGGGAGGAGGGUCAGAGGGAGAAGCAGACUCCCUGCAGAGCAGGGAGCCCGAUGUGGGACUCGAUCCCGGGACUCCAGGAUCAUGACCCGAGCCGAAGGCAGUCGC